This 460-nucleotide ribosomal RNA is filed under the name uncultured bacterium. Its description in RNAcentral is "partial 16S ribosomal RNA". It matches the Rfam family "Bacterial small subunit ribosomal RNA", at positions 338 to 795 of the family's 1533-position model. The record is from RNAcentral.
CCUACGGGUGGCAGCAGUGAGGAAUAUUGGUCAAUGGACGAGAGUCUGAACCAGCCAAGUAGCGUGAAGGAUGACGGCCCUAUGGGUUGUAAACUUCUUUUAUAGGGGAAUAAAAUGUUCCACGUGUGGGAUUUUGUAUGUACCAUAUGAAUAAGGAUCGGCUAACUCCGUGCCAGCAGCCGCGGUAAUACGGAGGAUCCGAGCGUUAUCCGGAUUUAUUGGGUUUAAAGGGAGCGUAGGUGGAUUGUUAAGUCAGUGGGGAAAGUUGGCGGCUCAACCGUAAAAUUGCAGUUGAAACUGGCAGUCUUGAGUACAGUAGAGGUGGGCGGAAUUCGUGGUGUAGCGGUGAAAUGCUUAGAUAUCACGAAGAACUCCGAUUGCGAAGGCAGCUCACUGGACUGCAACUGACACUGAGGCUCGAAAGUGUGGGUAUCAAACAGGAUUAGAUACCCGAGUAGUC